GACAUAAUAGUAUAUAAAGUAUAAUUACCUUUUCAAGGUAAAGGUAACGUUAGUUUUAUGUUAC
RNAcentral lists this transfer RNA (64 nucleotides) under Microceramus pontificus. RNAcentral's name for it is "tRNA-Glu". Lineage: Eukaryota; Metazoa; Mollusca; Gastropoda; Stylommatophora; Urocoptidae. The record is from RNAcentral.